AGUGAACGCUGGCGGUAGGCCUAACACAUGCAAGUCGAACGGCAGCACAGUAAGAGCUUGCUCUUACGGGUGGCGAGUGGCGGACGGGUGAGGAAUACAUCGGAAUCUACUUUUUCGUGGGGGAUAACGUAGGGAAACUUACGCUAAUACCGCAUACGACCUACGGGUGAAAGCAGGGGAUCUUCGGACCUUGCGCGAUUGAAUGAACCGAUGUCGGAUUAGCUAGUUGGCGGGGUAAAGGCCCACCAAGGCGACGAUCCGUAGCUGGUCUGAGAGGAUGAUCAGCCACACUGGAACUGAGACACGGUCCAGACUCCUACGGGAGGCAGCAGUGGGGAAUAUUGGACAAUGGGCGCAAGCCUGAUCCAGCCAUACCGCGUGGGUGAAGAAGGCCUUCGGGUUGUAAAGCCCUUUUGUUGGGAAAGAAAAGCAGCAGGUUAAUACCCCGCCGUUCUGACGGUACCCAAAGAAUAAGCACCGGCUAACUUCGUG
This 492-nucleotide ribosomal RNA is filed under the name uncultured bacterium. RNAcentral's name for it is "partial 16S ribosomal RNA". It matches the Rfam family "Bacterial small subunit ribosomal RNA", at positions 29 to 507 of the family's 1533-position model. The record is from RNAcentral.